GCGAAGAAGCUAGAGGGAUUUAGUUAUCUGGAAAUUUAGAUAUGAGAUGGGGUACGUAGCUGAAGACUUUUUUGUUUUGUUUUUCGCCACGCGUUUUCUUUGAUGGGCUAAUUAAUUGAAGUGUCCUUUUCUUCUUCUUUUUCGUUAAAAUGAAAUAUUGUCUUCUGGUUAUCGGUGUUUUGAAUGUAAUCGGAGGGAGACCUUUCGCCUGCAAUUUCUCAGAUAUACAAGAGCUAAGAACGUAGAAGAAAGACUCAGGAACUCACUGAUUGUUUUGCUUUUAGAUCCUCGACGUUUGUCUUCUUACUGGUUUUUGGAUAAUAACGGUGUGCUGGAAAGUACAGGUGACAUGGACUGAUCCUGUGGCGGGUGGCAGGCAGGAAAGGCACUUAUUGCUGUCUUCGAUGGUCAUCUUUGAUUCCUCCGCUGCCUUUCUCUGGCUCUUGCUGCUAUUAUUUGUUUCGCAUUUUCUAAAAUGUAUAGAUGAUGGGAUUUUGCCUUAUGUGUAAAAAUGUACAUGAAUGCAGAGGUGACACUUGUACUCUUUAUCUUAUGCAUGGUCCUGCGUGGCAUGUUUGGCUUCCAUGAUAAGAGGAGAUAGCGUGUAGAUGUGGAGGUGAGGGCACCGUACCCAAACCCAUAUAUAUAAUUUGACAAAGUGGGCGUUGGAUCAAAUCCCAUAUAAUUGAAUUGCAUAGGAUAAGAGAAUAGCGGGUUUCGUUGAUUAAUUAGUACUAUUUUCAAUAAUAAUAGUAAUAGUUAAUCAAGGGUUCACUUCUAUGUAGUUUCUAGUGUCAGUUAUAUGAUUAAUGGUUAUUGAAGAUUUAUAUAAUUAUUAUUUUUAAAAUAUUAAUAAAAUUAAUUGAGAUAUACAUAAAUUAAUCCGAAGAUACAUGCAGUAAUAAUAAUAAUAAUAAUAAGUUAAUCAAAUACAUUUUGCUCUGAUCUUCCAAUGUUUUGAUAUAAAAUCAUUAAACAAGCGGCGCUGCUUGACUUGUGUGCCCUUGCGUUUGUUUUUGCUUGUUACCUUCUAGGAUGAAAUUUGGUUGCGUAAGGAACAUUAUUAUAGAACUUCUCUCUCGUUUUUUUUUUUAAAUCUUAUUUUAAAAUUACAUUGUCUUGUUUUUUUAGCUGUUUUUAAAAUUUUUGAAUUUUUUAUUUAAAAUUAAUUUUUUUGAUAUUUUUAAAAUUAAUUAUUUUGAUAUAUUAAUAUAAAAAAUAAUUUUUUUAAAAUUAAAAAAAAUAUUUUAAUAUAUUUUUAAAUAAAAAAUAUUUUAAAAAACAACUAUUAUAAUAUAAUCUUAGUUGUCUCAGAUCACCACAAUUCAUCACGUUCUUUCUCAUUGUCGGUGCCAACUACUAACCUGAAAUUAUGAAAAUAUAUAGGUUAUCUUCCGGAGGGGAAAGCAAACUUGGCUGUGUUCUUCAAGCCACCUUCCAAUAAAUCAUGUUUUUUUUUUCUUUUGCCAAGUCAAGACUCAAGAGCGGUCUAAAUUUAAUAUUUGUGACCUUUUAAACCCGUGCAUCAAAGGAAGAAGAAAUUCGAACUGGAGUCCAAACUCAUAUCACGUGACUCCAAUUAAAACGAGCCAGCUGGCCUCUUAUUCGAUGGGAUUUCGAUUGCUUGAGCGAAUGCGAUUAAAUUGGAAUUUUCUUCUAAUCUUCAACACAAAACAACAUCACGUUUUAAGUAUAUAAAAUAUGUAAAAAUAAACUUUGAUGCAGGAUGCUAAUUAUUAUCCAAGUUCUCGAGGUUGAAGAUUCGAUGCAAGUGUGCUGUUUUUUUUAGUUGAUCGAUAACCAUUUUUUUAAGCAGCUUGCACCGCAAUUAAUUCCCAUCUAAGCUACUGAAAUUAAUUUCCAUUAAAGCAAAGUAGCUUAUGUGUGAAUCAAGAUUAAUAGAUUCGUACUCAAAAUUAAUUUAAGACUUGAAAAAUGAUUGCAGUCUAGGAGCAUGGGUUUGGUGUUGUUGCCGGAUCUAGAUAUUUUAGGUCUGGUGUUUGGGCCUAGGAUGGUUGUAAUGUCCCGGCGGUAAUGUCCAGGCGUUUAGGUUUGACAUAUUUUUUAAAUUCAAGUGAUAUAAGUCUGAUAUGAUUAUUAGAUUCAAGACAUCUAAAUAUAAUAAUUAUUCAAGCUCAUAAUAACAUGAGUCUAACACUUCCAACUAUCAUUGCAAUAAUAAUUUAUAUUGUUUACUAAUUGGUCUACAACAACGUGUGAGUAAUCUAUCUAAUUUAUAACUAGUAAUUUUAUGAUGUUCAAAAACUAACUAAUACGAUACUAUUAGUUAUUUUCCGGGGCUCACUUAAAAAAAAUAAAAAGAUACAACUAGAAGAGAGAAAUUCUAGAAGCAAAUAUUCUUAUAUUUUUUGGUGUGUUAUGAAUUUUAUAUUCUUUUUUAUCUUUGUGUUUUUUUUUAAAGGUGAAAAAUAAAUAAUAAAAUGUCACUAGUAUUUUGUUAAUAUCAUAAAAAAUUUCUUGUUAGUUCAUACAUUUGUAAUAUAUAUUUUUCAUUAAAAUAACUCUUUUAUUUCUUAAAAUAAUGUAAAUAAAGAAACGAGAAAACAAAACAAAAUAAGCAAGUAAAAAUUAAUUCACUCUAAUCAAUUAGGUUUAUUCAUAUACUUGUUUUUAAUUAAUUUAAUUUUUUUAAUCAUUUAAAUUUCACCUUAGACAGGAAAUGUUUUUUUUUAAUAGAAUAGUUAUUAGAUUACAAGUUUUGAAAAAGAACAAGGUUAAGCAUUCAAUUUGGUGCUUUGAUAGAAAGUUGUCAUAUAGAGACAUUAACUCAGGACAUAGAGAGGCUUAAUCAAUAAUAAUAAUAAUAAUAAUAAUAAUAAUAAUAAGUUUUUGGAAGGGUAGCUGACUGAACCAAUUAUAGAUAAAAUCCAAUGAAUAAAUUCUAUCCAAUUCUAGAUUACUAGUCCAGUCAUGUCACUUAUGAUAUAUAUAUAUAUAUAAAGUAGCAUGACUGAGCUAUAUAUAUUAGAAUAUUUUGAUAUAAAUAAAGAAUAUUUGCCCAUUAACGUGGCUCUUUUCAGGCCACCAAAGUGACGAUGUAUUAUUUCUAUAUAUUUCCUAUAAAAGAGAUUUUUUCUUUUUCUUAUUUAGAUGUUCCAAAAUAUAUGUUUUUCUUUAAUAAAAAAAAGUUAAGGCAUUGAAUAUUGAAUUUUAACCCCUCUUUAAGGUUUGAAUUCAAGAUUUUCCUUUUCUUUUUAUACAAGCUCAAUAAAUGGGUUUCACCGUUACACAUUAUUUAUUAUAUUUAUUUCAAUAUUGACUUAAAAGUUAUAUAUUCCAUGAAAAGAAUAAUAAGUUGAUAAGACUUUUAACUUUUAAUAAAAGUUAAAAAAAAUAAAAAUUGGCAAACACCUUUCCUUCAUGAAUGCUUUUCCAUUACAAUCAGAGGGGCAAACGGCGAUUUUUUUUUAUAUAUAUAUAUCUAUACAAUAAAAUUAAGGGAAAAUCCAAGGAGAGAAACUAGAAUAAAAAGGAAUAAUCCAUAAAAAGAAAGUGUGUGUAAGGGCAAAUCCAUAGAAAAUAAAGAGCACAUGGACAAUUGUGUGAUUAACGGGAUUGGAAAAUGCCAAAAUAAAUUAAUGUUCGGGAGUGUAGCAUAGUUUUGAAAUUGGCACGGCAGGAAUCGAGCCAGGUUAAAGAUAAAACAGGAAAGAAAAAACCUUAUGUAACCCGGAUGAUUUGGAAGGUUGGCUCGAUAAAACUAGGUCAAAAACUUGGUUGCAACUUGUUAAUUUUUAUUUUUAAUAAAACGAUAUCAUUUUAAUUUUUUUAAAAAAAUUAAUAUAAAAAACUUAAUAACCCAAUAAAACCUGAAUUUUAAAUUGAGUUGGGUUUAAAAAUUAUGAAGUGUAGCAUCACAAUAAUUUAAAAAAAUAUAAAAAAUAAAAUUUUUUUUGAAAGGAAGUUUUUAUAAAACACUGUAUGUAACGCAGUUAAAAUGGACGUGUAAAAAGUAGACGCAUCGUGAGAGAAUCCGAACCCGCCUAGCUGUAAAGUAAGUGAAGGAAGGCCACGUUGGCAAGGGAAGAAGGCAACGUUUGCGGUGUUUUGCCAUUGCCGUUGGUAACAGUGAGAGAAGCAAUUUACAGAAAAAUGCAAAAAAAACCCCACCCCUGCUCCUUUUGUAAACUUUGUACCGAGUAGUGACAGAAAAUGGGAGGUGAAAGGAAGAAGAUAUUGGUGGGUCUAAUGGUGUUAAUGAUUUUGGGAUUUGCAGUCUAUUUCAGGCUUUGGACAAUUGACUAUGCUAUCUCCUCUGAUGACACUGAAUUGAUAAGGUUUCUUUCUUUCUUUUGAUCUAAUCACCAAAAUACAUGCUUUUAUUGUUGGUAGGUAUGAUUUUGGUAAGAAAAUUAGUGGGUUUUCUUCCAUUUCGUAAAAUGUACAAUGUUUUUGAGAAUUCAAUGAUGUUAUAUUACACAAGCCUGGAGCUAAAAAAUGCCUUCAAUUUUACCUUUUAUUUAUUUAUUUCUUGAUUCGCAAAGAGCUUUUCAGCUGGCUUUACAAAUUUCACUCCUAUUAACGUGAUUAUGCUUGAAUUAGAGAGUCACUUAAGUGGAUUGAUUGUAUGAUUAUGCAUGUAGAGUUACACUAGCCUGUUGGCUGUUACUACUAAUUAUGAUUCUGUUAGUACACAUUCAAUCGCAGAACCUAAUUAAUUAUGCACAACUGGAGUUAAAUAAUGAACCAAUUUGCAUUAGAUCUGAAUUCUUUCCUUAAAAUGAAAAGGGCUUUGGGUUGGUUCACCAGCUUAUAUGCUAUUUUUACAAUGUUUGCUUCUUUUCUAGUAAAAAUCAAAGCUGUCAUUGAUUCUGAAAGCAAGCUGAAUAACUUUGUAUACUUUUUGUUCCCAGUACAGCAGUGGAAUACUUUCCAUAUUUUAUUUGUUUUACAAUUGCAGUAAUUCUUAUAACUGGUGUUGUACAUUUUAGUAAUUAAGGCGCAAAUGCAAUUGUUUUACCUUCAUCCUACUUCUUAGCUCCACGGUGUUUCUGUGCUUUGGAAUUUUGUAGAAGACAGUUCGAUCUUGCCAACAGGGAAGCAUUGGAUGAAUCUGCUGAGUGGAGGAUGAAAUAUGAUGAGGAGGUAGAGAGAGCUGCAAAGUGUGAUAAGCAACUGGUAGAGGUGUGCUUACUUCUAUUUCUCCUGAUCUGUUUGUUAUUCUUGGUGGUAUUGCACACUUUAAGUUUUUAACUUUGCUUAGUUGGGAAUAUCAGUUUUACUGUUAUAAGGGGUCUGUCUUUUUUUAUCCUUACGACUCUACUCAAAUAAUCCAAGUCCAUAAGUCCUUUCGUACUGAUACUCACUCACCAUCUUCCUGCCUUUGACUUUGGGAAGGAAAAAAAAAAAAAACUGAAACUUCCUAUUUGAAUGAAUCUUGUAAAUGCAUUUUGGAGCUAGUAAUAAGUUAAUUAUGUCUUCUGAUUAUUGAAUUUGCUUAUAGUUGGAAUCCUUUUGGUUCAGCGACUUUAACCAGACUCAUCUUCAUCAUUCUUGCCUUGAAUUUAGUCAAUUAUUGAUUUUUGAACUGUACCUUCCAUUGGGUUUUCUGAUGUCAAAAGGUCUAUGUUUUGAGUUGGCAAGCUCCAUGAGCAUUGUUAUGUCUUCUAGUUACUACUUUUGCAAUGCUCUGGAUUUUCAAGUGGAAAUCAAAGUUGAUAAUAUUAUGUAUGAAGAAUAAGGAGUCCAAUGUGAUUUGAACGGAAGUAUGUUAUAUGGCAGUGCUAAUACACACACAAAGCAAUUAAAAACUUUAUAUGUAUAGCUUCCAUGAGAUUGAAAGAGUUACCUUACAUGAAUUUCAGAUUAUAAAAAUGAAGUCAUGUAGUGAAACUGCUGUGAAAAUGUUGUUACAUUGGUUGUUCUGGGCAUUAAUUUUGCUGCUCUUGGAAGGUCGUUUGUGUAACAGCUGUACAUCUGGGUUUGAAUACUAUAUUUGGGUGAACAUAUCUAUACUCGAUGUAGACAAUGCGUUUUUCUAACCAGAUGAUUUAGCCAGAAUAAUUAUUGAAUUACUCUUGUGCUUUUUGCAAAUAUUGGAGCAUAACUUAAGAAUAAUUCUGAGGGAAAUGUUCCAUUAUCUUUGGAUAUUAUUAAUAUUUCUGCUGGCAAAUGGGCGGUUUUGACAUUUCUAUGUAUGUGGUGUGCAUGUGUAAGAGAAAAUGUGCUUUCUGAACCAUCAUAUGUGGAUUGGCACCUCAAUUUUCAGCUCAUGGAAUAGUCAAAACUUGCACAUUUCUGUUUCAUAUGAUAUCUUAUAAUGCUGGUGGGUUUGGAGCAAUAAUAUUCAUGUUGGGAACUUAGAAGCUUUUUUGUUGUUUUGUAUCAUGUUUGCUUUUGGUUUUCAGUUUUUGUGUUGAAAUGUCUGUGAACAAACUGUGAAAACUUAUCUAUUUGUAUUGUCCCACUGAAAAAUGAAAACCAGUAAACAGUUACCACAAUUUUGGAAACCAGUAGAAAUGGUUUUCAAAUAUUUUCACAAGUUAGUUUUAUUUCCCCUAAUUUCACAUAUUAUUGGCAUAACUUACUAUCUAUUGCCCUGUUCUCUUGAUUACCAUUACCACUGGUGAGUGCCGGUCAGUGAUGAUCUGCAAUCACCAAUUGACAACUCACUGUCAACCACCACCAAUUAGUUGCAAUGAACUCCACUGAUUGCAAUCGACUACCAUCUGUCAGGGAUAGCUAAUGUCACUGCUGAUUGCUAUUUUAGAAAUAAAUGUCGAAAUGAAAACUAAAAAGGAAAAAAGAACAAAAUAUAGAGGUAAAAUGGUAAAAGGACAAACUGGAAGUGAUAUUUCAAAUGGGAUUGUGAUUUCCGCUUGUCAAUUUCUUUUCAAAGUAUAUAGGACCUAAAAACUCAGCCUUUUGCAUCUGACUAAAUUUUUCUUGUAUCUUGUGGCACAGAUAAAGCAGAAAGUGGAGGAUGCUGCCUCCGUUAACCAGCAAUUGGUAAUGCUACAAAAGGUGACUCUCCAACAUCAAACAUCUAGUUGCUUACUGUCGCAAGUUCUUAUGUUUCUUCCUUCUGAUAUUCAAUUUUUAUGGUUGAGAUCUGUUUGAUACAUUUUCUGGAAUUUUUCUUUCAACAAUAAAGGAACUCUAGAAUCAAGUAGCUUGGUCAUGUUUUUUGCCAAACAUAGUUUGUUUCUCAAAUGAAAAAUCAUCAUCAAGUGAAACUGUGCUAAUGCCUUUUGUCUACUACUGAAAACUUCCAGAAUUGAUAAUGUUGCUUGAGUAAGAUCCUUAGCGUAACAAAAAAACCACCUUGUUCAUAUUUAUAAUCUUUUUCUGGAGUCUGGACCCUCAAGGAGGACCUGGAAUUCUAUUAUUCUCGUUAUAAUUUGGAAUCUAUUUGCAGUUUGAAUUUGUGUGUUUUUUUCUGACACUUUCUCACAUUACCAGGAAAACAUGGCCCUAGUUGGAAGGAUGGAAGUCUUGAAAAACAAGCUGGAGGCUUCCAAGUUAAAGUGUCGCUCAAAAAUAGAUCGGUGACUUGAACAGAAUUCUAACUUGCCCUUAUGUGUAUCUAAGUGCCUGUAAUUUACUUGUUUACAGAAGAUCUCAAAUGCUGUGAGAUUGCAGUUUCUGAUGAGUCCAACAAAGGGAAAUGGUUUUUGAAUGCGAUUCAGUCUCUUACCCAUAGCUAUGUACAUUACAUACAUACAAGGUAUCUGCUUUUUAGUUAAGAGAAUGUUGAAUGAAUUAUAAUGCUGUUGUACUAGUCAUAAUAAAUUUCCCUUUGCUCUCCUCUCCCUGGACUUUACUCCGUGAAAAGGGAUUUAUGGAUAGAGAAUAUGCCUUAUAGCCACUAGAUUGGUUACAUACAGUACUCGUUUUAUUUAUAUAAAAUAUAUUUAUUAUUAAUAAAAGCUUUUUAUUUUUAAUAUUUAAUUAUAUUUGAUUAAUGAAUCUAAAGUAAAAAUAAAGUUGGUGAAAUAAAAAUGUUUUGCAUAGAAAAUUAUAAAGUUAUAAUUAUGAAAUUUUUAUUGUAUCAAAAAAUUGUUUUUAAAUGUUAUUGGUAAAUGUUCUAUUAAGACUGAAUAUUAAUUAGAGUUGUUAAGGUUGAUUUAUAUUAUGUCCAUUCUUUUAUAAAAGGAGACAACUGAUCUCCUAAACUAAAGUAUAAAGUAUAAGAAAUACAUGAAACUAAUAUGUAGAUGCUUGUCAGAUAAUAUAUGCAUUGAGCUGACCCGCAAAAGAAUUUCAUAUAAAAAGAUCAUCUAUGUUUAUGAAAAAGUUCUCAUGAUAGUUGUAUAAGUGAUUUUUAAACUUGACAUCAUCAAGUUAUUUUAUAUAGAGAGUUAUGCUUUAAUCUUAACCACACGUGUUAUUCAAGGGUAACAAUUAGACAUAUAUUGAGUAUAACAAACUAUAUAAAUGUAUUUGAAUAAUAAAAAAUAUCAGGUCAAAUAUCGAUUAUAUAAUGGCUACAAACAUUGUCAAAAAGCUUUUUUAGUUUAAUUAUUUUUAGUAAGUAAAAAUAAUAAAGAAACCAAUAACUUAGUUCAACAAGAUUAGGAUACAAAAUGAUUUUAAAUCAUUAUGGUAUCAUCCAUGUGUUGAUAAUUAGAUAUGGCUAAUAUUGGAUGUAAAGAUGCAUAAAAUUAUAUAGUCUCAAUGGUAAAAAAAUGCACUAAGUUGUAAAAACAAGAGUAAAUUGAUCUUUAUAUAGGGAUGCAUGAAAGAUAAGGUUGAUAAGGAAACUAAAAGAUUGGCUUCAUAUCUAUAUUACUUGUAUUUUAAGUGUGGUAAUAAUGCUAUUACUAAUAUAUAACUUAAACUUUUUAUUGUUGAUUCUAAUAAAAUAAAUUAAAUAAGUUGUUUAUUGAGUACAAACAAUCAAGAAGUCCACAAGUCCAUGUUGCAAAAAGUUAUUCAAGAAAAGCUACAACAUGCUUUAGUUAAAAUAGUUGAUUGGUUGAUAUGUGAGACACGAUUAAUGUAUUUGAGUAAAAAUAUUCAUUAAUAACAUCAUAUAUGGUUGAUUGUUCAAUCAAUUUCAAUAUUAAUUGAUAAAGUAUCUUCCUUCAUUUAUUUAAGAAUAAAUAAAUACAAGAAGCAUUUUUUACAUUAAAAAUAAACAUCCACAUGUCAUCGAAAUAAAAAUAAUGAUUGGUCAUAAUAAAACAAAAGAAUUAAGCUAGAAUCAAUCUAGUGUAAUGGAAUCAAUCACGUUGAAAUAAUUUUAAUCAACUAAAAGGUUUAAAGAAGCAGUUAAUUAGACAAUCAGAAAAUAUAAUUAAUUAAAGAAAAGCAAUCAAACAUAGUAGUCUGAGUGUGUGCAAGUAAUCAGAAGGUUCAUUCAUACUCGGAACAUGAGCCCUCAAUAUAUUAAACUCAUCAUAAUUAUAAAUUAGUUAGGAUUCAUAUGGUUAUUAAUAAAAUAAUUAAACUUGUAUAUACAAAUUAUUAUAUAAUCACUUAACUAUUAGAUAUAAUUUGUAGUAUUAAAAUUGGAUGUUUACAUGAAAAUCAAGCACUUUGUCAUUAUAAAUAGACCAUCUGGUUAUAGUUAAAGCUGUCUAACCCUACAUACGUAAUUUUUAUACAAAUUUAUCUUUUUUUCUUUCAGUUUUUCAUGCUUUCUUUUCCAUUUUCAUUAUUAUCCAAUAUUUUUGAAUUCCUAUAGUUCAUCUUCCUCUAUCUUUUUCUCUCCAUGUUCUUUUUCUUGUGUGGUAUUAAUUGAGAUAAAUUAUCUUUUCUAAAUGUUCAAAAUCUUCAUAUUUUAUAUUUCACUUGAAUUUGCGAGGUUGCUAAUUGCUUUAUUUCAUAAUUAAGUUUUUAUUGUGCUGUUUAUCCUCCUUGAAAGAUAGAAAAAAAAAUUAAUUGAUGGCAUAACCGAUUAGAUGAUUAUUUGAUAGAUUAAAGUAUUAGUAUGCCUAUUAGGACAAUUAGGCCUUUUCAAAAUGAUUUAUAAAAAUGAAAGGCAUUCAUGUCCUUUUCCUAGUGUAAUAACUAUAAUGAAUACUCAUGAAUUAGAUGCAUUUCUUAGUUAAAAAAAUAAAUAUAGUAGACUAGGUAUGAUCAAUUAUGACAAAGGAUAGAGUUGGUCACUAACAUUGUUACAUGUAAAAGGUUUAUUAAUUGUGAUAAAACCGAUAAAUUAGCAUAAAAGAGAUAGAGAUACAUUUUUCUAUGAAGUAUAUAUGUGCCUCACUUGUCUCCUAGUUCUAUCUAAGAGAGAAAACUUACAAGUAAAAACAAAACAAAAUAAAUUGGCACACAAUGAAAUGUGCUUUUUAGACCUAAAAGCCUUUGACAAGUAAUGACAUAAACAUUAGCUAUAAUAGAAGUCAUUCAAACUUAGUGAUAAGGAUGAUAAUUUGGCUAACAAUCGCCAAUAUCUCUUAAGAACUUGAAAAAAGGUAUUAAUAAGAUCGGUUAAUCAAAACCUAAUUUAGAAUAAUGCAAUAAUUAAACACACAAGUAAUGAUGGAUAAAAAGAUACCCUAACAAAAUAACGCGUAGUGACCAAAAACCUUAUAAAAAGUUUUUAUGUGUUAUAUUUUUUAUUAAAAGGAAAUAAUACAUAGGAUAAUGAUUUGACUCAACAUGAAUUAUGAUAUAAAAUAUUUAAAAUUAUGGUCAACAUUUUGUUAAACAUUGCUUAUUAGUCUAAGCGACUAGAGGAAAUAAUUAUUUGAUCGACAAGAAAUGAUGAUUAAUCAGUUGUUUAGGAGUCAUGAUCAGCUAAAGAAAGCGAUCAACCACAAAAACAAAAGUCCACAUAGUCAACUAAAAGGUUCAAUUCUUUUUAAAAAUAGGACUCCUCAAUAUAUUAGAAUUUAUUAGUGUUGUAGAUUAGUUAGAAUUCACGUUAUCAAUAUAAAAACACAUAAUAGUUUGGAUUAUAUUAAGAUUUAAUGUAUAAAUUCUUUAUCUAAUAAAAAUAAUAUGUAUAGGAUUAUAAUUAGAUAUUUAUGCGAAACUCAAACUUUAAUAUUAUAUCAUUAUAAAUAUGUCAUUCCUGAGAAAUAUAGCCAGCUUCACAUAUACAAUUUCAGUUCUUUAAUUUAUCUUUAUUUACAACUUUAUUUACAGCUUUCAUUAUUUUUCCAAUACCUUUGAAUUGCUGCCAUUCUCCCUUUUCUCUUCCUAUUUCUUUUCUUGUGUAUCGGGACAUGUUAUCUUUUUGAAGGAUUUGAAAUCUUUAUAUUCCAUCUUCGUUGCUAGUUAUCUUCUCUCUGAUAUUAAGUUCCUAUUGUGUAGUUUUUCCUCCUUGAAAGGUUGAAACAGUUAAUUGAUAGAACAACUGAUCAGAAAAUUAUUUGACAGAUCAACAGAAGUCCAUUCUUUUCUUGGAGAAAGAUAUGGCAGAAGAAGAAAAAUGCUUCCAUUUCUGCUGUUUCUUUUCCUUUUCUUUUUUAUUUGAUGAAGAUUUUCUGUUCUUUUCCUCCUCUCUUCUCCAUGAAACAGAACUUUUCUAUGAGAGAAGGCACAAUUCUACAGCAAAAAAUGGCAAGGAAAGCUGUUGAUUAAUGAGGUGUCCUGAUCAGUUGUGUUUAUAAAUCAUUCUUCUGCCAACAAUUAUUUCUCAUACUGCCAUAUUUGUACUUUGUUUUAUUUGGAGGACUGAAGAUACAAAGAAAUUAAAAAGAACUUUCUUAUACCGAACAAUUCCCUUUAAAAAGUUUGUAGAAAGAAAUUCUCUUUCUUUCUCUUAAAACUUGAACAUAGUUACAUAUAGACAUGCUAACGUAGGCAUAUAGCACUGUCAUUCAUUUCCAUUAUCCCCGUCACUUCCCUUCAGGCAAUCUAGAUUAGAAACUAUCUGUAUGGCAUCUUUUGCUAUAAGAAACGAAACUAUUCUGGAUCUCUUUCUCUUGUACUUGCAGAGCCAUCAGUAUCUUUUGAAGGGUUAGCCCGCAUUUCGUUGAGAAAUUUUGUUAUAGUCUGCACAAAGACUCCAUUGUCGUCAGGUUGAGUACUUGAGAAUGCUGGACAAGUAGUGAUGCCAUUGCUGCUACUCCUAGAACUCUAUGAAAAGAAUACAACUAUAUACAGUGAAGCUAUAGUUAGGUGGCCAAGAAUUACGUUUGAAUGCAAGCUAUUCUCUCAUUUUAUCUUGGCCAGUCUUUCAUAUUAGCCUAUUUUUCUUAGAAAAGAAAUGUCGGCUACUCAGCAUUAACAAUGGAGACUGCGACAUCGGUUCCAUUCUUGCUAUUUUUGUGCUUGACAUGCAAGAGCAUGUACAUAAGAUGCGCGUAUGAUCAGAACUAUGGAGAACUGAGAUUAGAGUAUUGGACAAUCAUAUCAGCUACUGAUCAUUCAUAUACUCCUUUACUUCAUAAGAUUAACUUGAAUAGAAGCUCAAUUGUAACACACUAAUUACUUUGAGAUUUUGAGGUCCUUAAGAGUUCCAAUGCUCAGGUUCAUGCUCACAUGCAUCCCUCUGCCUCCUAAGAAUAUUUUGAGUUCAAAAUUUUCUUUUCUUCUCACUUUUUGCUAAUGUUUAUGCUCGCCAAAACUAUAAUAUAAUGAUGAUAUAUACACGUAAAAUAGAUUCCGACUAAUGUUGAUAAAAAGAAUCUUACUGAGGAUACUCGUCGUCGCUUUGGCUGUCUGGUUCUGGUGUUCAUCGUCUCAAUCAGUUCAUCAAACCGAGAAAUUAAAAAAAUAUCAACUCAAAUCAAUUUUCAUUUCACCAGAGAGUAAAAGAUUACUAAUUAAUAUCUUAGCGUUUAAAACAGUACUCCAUAUUGUGCUUCUGUGCUAUGCUGCCAUACAUAGGUGCUUCUAUAUAUAUAUGAAACGAGGAAAAAAAUGGAAAUUUAUAUUUUUUUGAUAGCUUGGUAGUUCAGGGAGAAAUUCAAACUUGCUCCUUGAGCUUUCUACUUGGAGGUCUCGAUCGGUUUCACCUCCUGGUACAGGUAGAGUGGGACUUAGGUAGGUGCCACCCCCCCCCCCCUUUUUUUUUGUGUGUAAUUCAAGGCCCGUUCCCUCUCUCGAUGUGUAUAAUAAUAAUAAUAAUAGAGUUUAUGUUAGGGGAAAAAAAGGGUUUAAGUGUACAGAAAAAAAGAAGAAUAAUCUUAAUUACUAGUGGGGCAAUAUAAUAGAAACUAUAGAAACAUUUGGUAACGGACAUCAACUUACCUGCUUUACAAUUUUUUCAUACUUUCUUGCACAUUGAUAAAGCCUUCUUUCAUCUUCCUUAGGCGUUGUCAUGCUGUCUCUCUCUUUCUUUUCAUGAAGUGCUCGAGGCCACAUGAAAGCUUAAUAUAUAUUCAUCAUGGGAAGACAAUGGCUUGGGUUUCAGAAAUCUCUCAGAAAGUGGCCGUUACCACCGCCUUGUAUGCACCGGCAAUAAAGAGAAGAGAAAGACCGUUAUGGGCUGCCAUUCCUUCUUUCUUACGCACACAAAACACUAUUCUUGUGAUCCGAAAUUAGGUCAAACUUUCUCUUGCAUGUAGAAAGGAAACCUAGCACAAAGGAACAAGUAAUGAAAAAGAAGAAGAAAAAACCAUCUGCCAUGUUUGUAAAGCAUCAACGGAAUUGGAGGAGUCUUUUAAUCCUUUCUUACAGGUUCAGAAUUCGUGGGACUUUAUAUAUACAGUUGAAUAUUUCAUGGAUUUAUCGGCCGUCCAAGAAAAAGAGACGAUACCUUUUUGUAGUUCAAUCCAGGGCCUUGUUUGACUAUAUAUAGUUCCAAUUGCCCAGUGGCAUGUAUAAUCAUAGUUCCAUUUAUCUCCCGUUUUCUUUUCCAUUUAUAAAGGAAAGUAUUUGAACACAAGUUGACAAAAUUAUAUUAUAAAUAAACUAAACACAUAAGGAAGGAAAAAGGUUGAAAUUAUAUUCGAAAUCUUGAAAUUCUAAAUGUGGAGGAGGGCAAGUGAUAAAUCUAAUAAACCCAAACCCAUCUGUCUAGGUAUGAGCAAGAAGAGGAGAGCAGGUGCUUGUGAUUUUGAAUGAAAGGUGGGCAGUAAAAUGCUUAACUCAGUUUAGGCGUUCUUCACCUUUAUGAAAGGGGAGAGGUUUUCUAGGUUUAGUGUUACAUAUAUAUAUAUAUAUAUAUAUAUAUAUAUAUAUAUAUAUAUAUCAUGCGGAUACAACUUGUGUAAAUCUUUUUGUGCAAAACAAAUAGUCCUUGAAUUUCCAAUUAAUUUUCACAACAAGCAUUGGAUCUAAGAGAAAUAAUAAAAAAAAAUAAAAAGCGGCAAUGCCUAAAGUGACUACAAGAAGCAGGUUGAAGAAAAAACCAUGCAGCAAGGAGGUUGCCAGUGGCACAAACAAAUCGUGAAGCACUGAGAUUAGUCCGGACAGGUGAAAUAAGAGGUGCUGCUUGGAAUUGGCCUCUUCCGCACUUGAUCGUGUUACACAUGUUGCCUCAAUCCUCCCUGAGAUUCACGUGGAAUGCCCAGUAAAUUUACACACCCGAUCUACGGUAGAUUAACAACUAAAUAAUAGAUUCAAUAAACAAGUAAAGAUAUAUCCUUAUUUGUUAACAAGUUAUUUUAAAGAUUUUUCUUAUCUAGAAAAAAUUUAAUUGGGGUUUCAAUUACAGUAUUAUAAGCUAAAAAUACUCAAUCAUUUAUAGUUAAAACAAUAUGUUAUUAAUUACUGAUUUAUAUCAAGGAUUGAUUAAAAUAAAAAAAUUAAUAAUUUAUCCACUCAUUAACAGGUUGAUUCGACUUAUUUUAACUUUUCUUGUUUCGACAACAACUACCGAACAAGCAUUUUCAGCUAUAUGAAGAUUAUUAAAACAAGACUUCAUAAUCGGAUAGAUGAUGAUUUUCUUGUAAAUUAUUUAAUUAUCUAUAUAGAAAGAAAAAUUACUGAAAGAUUAACAAUUGAUAUGAUAAUCGAUGAUUUCUACUUCAUGAAAUAACGACGAGCACAAUUAAAAUAAAUAUAUAAGAAUAAUUCUUUAUUAUUUUUUACUUUAUUUCAAAGUUUUAUCAAACAUAAAUAAUGCAUCGUUUUAGCUAAUGUUUCUUAUAUAUUUUAUAUGUUUAUAUUUAAUAGGUAUAAGAACCAACAAAAUUAAAGUGAUGAAUAUAUUAUGUAAAUAAAAUUAACUUUAUAACUUUGACUCAAUUUAGUAUUACUUUAAACCUUUUACCUUAUAUAAAGAUCAUCAUAUAUUUGUAAUAAGUUAUUUAAAUAAAACUAAAUCAUGUAUUUUUUAUUUUUUUUAACAAUUCAUGCACAAUAAUGUUUUUUUAAAAAAUAUAUUUUGCUAUAUUAGUUUUUUCUAUCAAAUAAUCCCAGCUCCGUAACUAGAUGUACCUGACCUGGGAUUCUCACAGUGUCAUCAGAAGUUCAAGAGAAUAGCAAAACGGCUGAAAUAAGCCAUAGCAAGGGUGAACCAGCGUUCUAGUCCUACUGGAGCCACCACCUUGGGGAGGGCUUCUCCUUGAGCGACCCGGCCCGGAAAUGUGGAAACAAUUUAACCACAAUUUGUUUCCUACCACAAAAAAAACAAGGUAACUGAUGCAGCAAAUAUUCAUGUCAAAUGAACUCCACAUUUCACUUAGUUCAAGUAAUUUCACACAAAAGCUGAAGACUUUAACAUAUGGAAAUCCAAUUCUGCCCAUGAUUCUAUACAAACUGAAGAAAAACAUAAAAGGGUAUUUUUUCGGGGAAAAAAAAGUAAACCAUAAGGCAGUGACCAAGGACAGAGCCAAAAAAAAUUAAUAAUAAAGAAAAAAUAGAGUUGGAAUAAGGGAUUAAAUUUAAUUUAGGGAAUGGAUUAAGAAUAACAAUGAAUAUUCACAGGUGAAUUUUUUUUCAUAGGAUAAAAAUAUUUAAUCGGUUUUAAGUAUCAUUAUAAAUACUCAUUAUCUAAUUAUUAUUUAUUAUUCAAUAUAUAUAUAUAUAUAUAUAUAUAUAUAUAUAUGAGGUUUGGUCUGAUUUUGUAUGGAGUUUGAUAAUAUUUAUACCCUCAAAUAAAAUAAAUAUAUAAAAACAUUGAUUUAGAUUGGAUUGGACUGAUUGGAUUUGGAUUAAAUUUUUAAUUGCAGGGCAGAAUGGACACUUUGAAAGUUAUGGCCGGUAAAAGGCCUGUGAUGACUUACGAGGCCCAUUUGACACUUGCAAGCAUGAGGUUCAGAAGACUUGAUACUUAUAAAAAGCAAGAAUGACGUCAUCCAAACAUGGCGGCUUUCAAGAAUGGGUUAUGGCAACCACCCACACGUUGCAUGGCAGCGUGCCACGUCAACCAGAAUCUCUGUUGUUUUUUGGAGGAUACCUUUUUUAACGACAAAUGAUCUAUAACAAUCUGAAGUCCCUUCUUCUUUUCUCCCAUCAAUCCUCCUUUUUUCCCCUUUCAUGACCCCCUCGUGUCCACCCAAGCGCCCAGGCCUGGCUGCCUCCAGGCCCAGCUUUCUUUCCUCUUUUUUUUUUUUCUAGUUAUUUUUUUCAAUACUUAUUAUUUUCCAUUUGACAAUUGUUUUUCAAUAAUUAAUGAUUUUUUGAUUUUCAUAUACCAUCAAAAAAAUUAUUUCCAUAAUUUUAAUUGUUUUUUAAAAAUAGUAUAAAAAUAAUUAAUGUGUAAAAAAUAAUGAUUAAUUAUCAAAAAAGAUUUACAAUAAUAUGGGUUUGGUGAUGGAUGAUUAAUCAAUCUAAGAUAUAAAAUUUUCAAAAUUCUAAUGAUAAUAACAUUGAGAUAGAAUUGAUAUAACACUAUUUUUUCAUUAAAAAAUUUAGCACUACUAACCUUAGAUUAACAUCUAAAAACAAAAUGGCUCUAAAUAAUAAGUAUUUAAUGGUUAAUGAUUUUUUAUUUCUCAAUUUAUAGGGAAAUGACCCUUUUUUGGUUUCUUUUUCAUUAUUUAUUAUUUUCUUAGUGACACUUUUUAUUCAAUAAUUUUUAUUUUUUUUAUUUUUCACAGAACCUCUUAAAACAUAAUUAUUAAUUUUCACAAUUUUGAAAUUUUUUUAUUUAAAAUAAAUUAGUAUAAUAAAUUAUUAUUGUACAAAAUAAUGAUUAUAUAACAGUUUUUUUUCAUAGUAAAAAUAGUUUGGUAAUUAAUAAUUAAUCAAUCUAAGAAGCAUAGUUUUUAAAAUCUUAGUGAUAAUUACAUUGAAACAGAUUCAUAAUUUGAUAUAGCAAUAUUUUUUUAAUUAGAAAGUAUCAACACUAACCAUAGAUUAACAUUUAGAAGAAUAAAGAAUCUACAUGAUAAAUAUUUAAUGGUUAUAUAUAUAUAUUAUCUUUUAGUUUAUAGGGAAAUGGCCUAGUCUCUAUCCUUAUUUAUGAAGAAAGUUUCCAAUCUAUCAUUAUAUCCUUAAUUGGCUAGUUAUUCUUAUAAAAUGAUUGAGUUUCCAAUCUAUUAUAUGUUAACUUUUCCCAUCCAAAUUAACAAGAUCAAUCAUGAAGAAUACUUAAUAUUAUACAAAAAAAUGGCAACCUUGUGGAGGUCCUGGAGGAGGAGGGUCACCGAAUAGAGAAGAAGAAGGGAAGGGAAUGAGGUUUCGAAGAGAGAGAAAAGACUGGUUUUGUGUGAAUUUUUCUUAAAAAAUACAUGUUCAUGAAAAUAAGUUUUUAUUUUAACUAUAUCAAAAUAGAAUUAUGUGGUAUGUAUUUUUAGCAAACCAUCAACCAUCUAAGAAAUCAUAAACAUCCAAUUAGUGUUUUUUUUUUUUCAUAAUACCCCUUUAUUGUAUGGUACGGUUGGUGGUGUUGUCCCGCACCCAAAACCUAUUAAUCAUAUCUUACAAUAAAACAAGAAAUAAAUCACAAAAAAGUAAAUAUUAUCGUUCCGCUCUAUUUCAAUUAGUGCGCUCCACUUUAGCAUCUAUCUAUCAGCCACAAACUAUACAUGUUAUUUUUUUAUACUUUAUGUAUGCGCGCACACUUGCAAUUUACUAUGAUAUACACGUAAUAUCUUGGUUCAUGGGGUUAAUAGUGAAAUCCUUGGAGAUUUAGUCUGAGAUGAUAAGUGAACAUGCAUGGUACCUACGCUAUCAUCCAAAAGAUAUUAAAUAAGAUGACAAGAAUAUUAUUUUCCUGUGAAUCCAUCAAUUCAGGUCUGGAUGGACUGUCACAAAACAGCGUGCGAAAUCUUGUUAGGCAGAAAAAGAGAGGAUUCAAGCGAUCGACCAAUGCAAUUGAUCUACACAUCUGCUUGUGUUGGGCGAUUAAUGCGUUUUAAUCAAACCAUGUGGUUUCUCUUCGAGGCCACAAAAAAACUAGGAAAACUGUCGCAAAACAGUGUGCUCUCGAUCAGGAGUGGAGGAAUCACAAGAUUGAGAGAGUGAUGAUAGUGAUGUCGAGGAAGAAAAGAGUAAAUAAACAGAAAAAAUGGUGCGGAAACUCUCACAACAUUCAUUCAAUAAUGGUAUUUGCCUUGACUUGGAUCCUUCAAAACCUACCUCCUAAACUAUUUUUUGUAUGUUUCACAACCAACAGUUUGCUGCCCCCACGCCUUUUUGAACACCGUCGGGGUUUGGUCAUCUUCUUGGUAGAAACCAUGCCAUGAUAUAUGGUGGAAAGUGGGUGCUGAUAACAAUGGAAAUUAAAGCUUUGAUGAGAAACAAUGCUUUGGGAAGAAAAAGGUUUUGUUUCCUUCGUGCUUUGACCAUUUAUCUUGCUUUGACUAAACUGGGGGCCGGUAAUACAUGGCACCCGCCAACUUGUGAAGAAAAUUAAUAAUGUAAGAGAAAAUACGGCCAAAAUCAGCAACACCUUCCAAAAUUAUAAAAAACCAGAGCAAGUUCCCGUGCUCAGGUGAAGGCUGACCUAUAAUUCUUACCUUCGUCUACACGAUUUACGUUUCGGUCUUUCUAGUUUACUCUCAGAUAU
Molecule: long non-coding RNA, 18763 nt
Filed under: Populus tremula
Lineage: Eukaryota; Viridiplantae; Streptophyta; Magnoliopsida; Malpighiales; Salicaceae
Description: long non-coding RNA (PTRE_LNC002546)
Source: RNAcentral